This 1093-nucleotide long non-coding RNA is filed under the name Chrysemys picta bellii (western painted turtle). RNAcentral's name for it is "lncRNA (ENSCPBG00000016231.1)". The record is from RNAcentral. Lineage: Eukaryota; Metazoa; Chordata; Testudines; Emydidae.
AGAGCCCACACCCCCAGCAGGAGUCUGCAUCCUCUCGCACACCCCAACCCCCUGCCCCAGCCCUGAGCCUGCUCCUGCAGUGAAAGUGAGUGAGGGUGGGGAAAAGUGAGCGAUGGAGGGACGGGUGCUGGAGUGAGUGAGGGCGGGGCCUCAAAGAAGGGGCAGGGAAGGGAAAGGGGCCGGGCAAGGGUGUUCAGUUUUGUGCAAUUAGAAAAUUGGCAACCCUAGGUUCUGGCUCAUACCUCUGCAUAAUGGAUACCCUGCUCAUAAGCCUCAACUGGGGAGGAAGAGUAUGGCAAACCCAAGGUGUGCAGUCCCACAUCUUGGCCCAGCCUCACCCUGGCCUGGCCAGGCCGCACUCACUUGUCACCUCACUGCGAGAGCAGCCUGGGCUGACAGGCUGUGGAUCAAAGUCCUGCUGUGGGCCACGAGCUGGGCGGGGAGUUCUCCCUGCUUCAUCUCGCGUGGCCGCAGCUAGGCCCCAUGCAGGGGGAGCCCCGGGAGGCCUGCCCCUGGAUCCCAGAGCGUGGCCUUACCUGUGCAUCGUGCUCACUGCUUUGCCCUGGUCCUGUGUCACUGCCCCCUUUUCAUGCAGUGGCGCUGCUUCCUGGGGUCCUUCCGGUGUCUGUAAGAGAAGGAGGCUCCUUCAGAGCAGGACCAAGGGCCUCUCAGCCACUGGGACCCAGAGGGACAAACCAAACAGGCCAAGCUCUGAUCUCUGUACACUGGCAGCAGCUUGCAGUGUCCCCACUGCCUUCCCUGCAGCCCAGGCAGCUGUGCAGCCAGCAUCGCAAUCUGGCCCAGUGCUGCCAUUGCACACAGCGAAGGGCCAGCCUGGGGAGCAGGUGCUGGCAAUUGCCAACAGGGGCCAGGGCCCAUUUCUCCGAGCACUGACCUCUUCCAGCAGUGCAGCAGAUUCUUCCCUUGCCUCCUGGAUGAGUCAAGGCACGUUUCUCUCGGGCCUCUCCAUUGCUUCACGGUUAAUCUGGAAGACAAGCAGGUGUGUUUGGUCCCCUGCAGUGCCCAGUGCCCUGGUGGUGCCCCUGGGGCCUGGACUGGAGCUGGGGUCUUGCUGUCAGGCAGACGAGUAUCA